This 73-nucleotide transfer RNA is filed under the name Felis catus (domestic cat). It matches the Rfam family "tRNA". From Rfam's summary of the family: Transfer RNA (tRNA) molecules are approximately 80 nucleotides in length. Their secondary structure includes four short double-helical elements and three loops (D, anti-codon, and T loops). Further hydrogen bonds mediate the characteristic L-shaped molecular structure. tRNAs have two regions of fundamental functional importance: the anti-codon, which is responsible for specific mRNA codon recognition, and the 3' end, to which the tRNAs corresponding amino acid is attached (by aminoacyl-tRNA synthetases). tRNAs cope with the degeneracy of the genetic code in two manners: having more than one tRNA (with a specific anti-codon) for a particular amino acid; and 'wobble' base-pairing, i.e. permitting non-standard base-pairing at the 3rd anti-codon position. Lineage: Eukaryota; Metazoa; Chordata; Mammalia; Carnivora; Felidae. The record is from Rfam by way of RNAcentral.
GCUUGGCUGGCUCAGUCAGUAGAGCAUCUGACUCUUGAUCUCAGCGUUGUGAGUUCAAGUCCCAUGUUGGGUG